RNAcentral lists this unclassified non-coding RNA (357 nucleotides) under uncultured bacterium. RNAcentral describes it as "contains 16S-23S intergenic spacer region". The record is from RNAcentral.
UCCGGUUUAGACCGGCAGUCUCCUUAGAGAAUUCAACUAAGGACGGGGGUUGCGCUCGUUGCGCCACUUAAGGCAACACCUCACGGCACGAGCUGACGACAGCCAUGCACCACCUGUGCAGGCUCCGAAGAGCACCCGCUUUCACGGGUUUCACCCUGCAUGUCAAGCCCAGGUAAGGUUCUUCGCGUUGCAUCGAAUUAAACCACACGCUCCGCUGCUUGUGCGGGCCCCCGUCAAUUCCUUUGAGCUUUAACCUUGCGGCCGUACUCCCCAGGCGGUCGACUUCACGCGUUAGCUUCGUUACUGAGAGUGUCAAACCCCCAACAACCAGUCGACAUCGUUUAGGGCGUGGACUAC